UUCUUCUUCACAGUCAGAAGUUGUGAUUCACCAGCAACGAGGGUUUUCUGAUGAUGAUGAUGAUGAUGAUAUUGAAGUUCUAACAUGAAAAAGUGAAAUUCGAGAAGAUCCAUUUCAGAUUGAUUGAAUAUAAGAUGGGUUCAACUCAUCCGUGUGGGAUUGAAGAUAAAAUGGGUUUGAUUGUUCCGGUGAAGGUGACAGAUGUGAUGUGGAAAAUCUGAAGAACUAGGGUUUGAAUUAAAAGAUUAUGAUGAUCCUAGUGGUGUUUUAGUCUGCAAUGGUGUAUGCUCUAAAACUUGUAUGGACUGAAUCAUAGUAGCUGUAGAUGAUGGCUGAGCAGAUACAAGCAGUUCAAGUUGGUGUUAGUGGUACUGCAAUGUCUUCGUCUGUUUCUUCUGUGUUUGUGAAGUGCACUGCUACUGGAAACCUUUAUUUGAUGAGGUUGUAGUUAAAGAAUAUCAUGUUUACAUGUCUCAGUGAAUGUGUUUGUUUAAAUUCUCUUCUAUGCAAGAGAAAGAAUGCUUAGCUUUAUGUGGUAAUCAAGUAUGGUAGAUCGAU
Molecule: long non-coding RNA, 558 nt
Organism: Papaver somniferum (opium poppy)
Lineage: Eukaryota; Viridiplantae; Streptophyta; Magnoliopsida; Ranunculales; Papaveraceae
Exons: 3
Source: RefSeq, a predicted model, not a curated record